Long non-coding RNA from Homo sapiens (human), 1841 nucleotides. The record is from Ensembl. NCBI's taxonomy places the organism in Eukaryota, Metazoa, Chordata, Mammalia, Primates, Hominidae.
AGACUCAUUCCCGGGCCUCCGGCUGACCACGGGAAAGGGGAUCUUCAGGAGCGGGUGUCUCAUGGCUGGGAAGAGGACGGCACAGGAGGGCUGGGGAACCCGAAUUGCAGCCUGAAUGGCCAGUGUCCUUUCUCCAGAAUGCAGUUCUCCCUUGCUCAGAAGAAAUGAGUCUGCCAGUGGGUACAACAUGAGAUGAUACUUCCACCCCCAUUGGUGACAGCCCUCACCUAGCUAUCAAGGUAUGCAGGGCUGACUUUUCACCUUCAGCCUGCUCCAGGGAAGGGCCAGAUGGCAUUCAGGCUGAUUCUGUGCUUCUGGCUGACUAAUCUCUCCAGGUACAAGAGUAAACAUGGAACGUGGGGACACCAUAUGUCCCUGACUCAUAGAGCUUGCAGGAAUCACCGUCAUUCUACGUGGCAUCUGCUUUCCUCGGCCGAGGUGGGAGGUGGGUCAAUGUAGCGGAGGAAACGUGUCUUAAAGUACAAGGCAGAGUGAACUGAAACAUAAAGAGAAGUGUGCACCUGGUAGUUGUAUCCUAAAUGACAUUUAUUUUCCAAAUGUGCUUUGUUUUGCUAGACAGUGUUCGACUUCCUUCACUCCUUCCAGGGGCCAGCAUGUGGCUGGCCACUGUCCACCCUCAGGGGUUGUGAACUGAAUUAAAGGGUUGCGUCCUUCAUCCAUUUUCUUUGCUGAACUGUCUUGAAUUUUACCCUAAGUUCAAAAUGAAGCAGACCAUAGCUGAGUUUAAAGGAGAUCCGAUUGACAUUGGGAAGUGGCACCCAAUAAGAUGGCUGUUUCUUCCGCCUGCUCCAGGGCUCGCCAACAGGAGAACUGAAAGCUGAAGCAUCUCAACCUGCAGAUACAUCUCAAAGGCCCCUUCAGCCGAUGUCCUCAGUGCCCUUGACACAGCCCCUUGGCACUUGCCUUCCACACACAUGCUGCUGCACCAGUUUCCUCCUGGUAGCAUCUUCCUUUCCGCCUGAGGAUUUCCCAGGCAUCCUGCCUCCAAGAAAGUCAGAAGUCAGUGCCUUCCUGAGAGCCGGUGAGAGCUCCGUCUCCCUUGGGCAAGUGGUGCUGAUGCCUGUUCCCUGCAUCCAUCUCUCAGAAGCCACAGCAGAACUGAGCUCCAGGGGCCACUGCGAUACACCUUCGCAAUGGUGACCACAAGAAUCCACUCAGCCUUGGAAGCUGUCCUUGAAACUCACCCUGAAAUCCCUGCCUAGCAGACAGGAGACCUCAGGCUGGACUCCACUCACUAUGUUAUCUCGGCCUCCCCGGGACUCUUAGGACACGACUUUCUUAAUCUUUCCAAGGGGCUAAGCUUAACCAAAAGGAAAUACUGCAUAAGAUGUGUGAAUACUUCAAGAUCUGUGGAAUAUGAAGCUGAAAACAGCUCUGUGUUUAGAAAUGGUUACCGUGCAUGUGUCUGUUUCCCCGAACUAGCACCAGAGCCUCGGUUUGAGGGUCUGUAUUUGAUCCUUUUCUCCUUAGAAAAGAGAGACCUUGUUGAAGGAAUGUUCUUUUUCCAGAGGAAAUUUGGGAAACAAAACGGUCACCUUAAAAACAGCAGCACAAGAAAGUUUGUCCUUAAAUUUAAAUUUUCUUUCAAGCCAGGAAUUAAAGCAAAGGUGGGAGUGGAAGAAUCUCUUCAGAUUGUAACUCUUGAAAUUUCCAGGCUAAGGGAAGUCACUGUGGGAGCAUUCGAGCAGAUUGGUGGUCACCACUGGGGAUUCUAGGAAAGACACGUUUCUUCAUGUUUUUAAUCUCAUCCUUUAAUUCCAAUUUCGGUGUAUGUUAUAUGUUUUGUAAGGUAUUCUAACAUUAAAUACGUGUUAUAUGAA